Conger conger (European conger) is the source of this 1338-nucleotide long non-coding RNA. RefSeq lists it as uncharacterized. The transcript has 2 exons. NCBI's taxonomy places the organism in Eukaryota, Metazoa, Chordata, Actinopteri, Anguilliformes, Congridae. The record is from RefSeq and is a predicted model, not a curated record.
UUUAAAUUCCUUUGUGAUGCAAAUCCCACAUGCCCUAAUUUACAUAUAAAUGGAAAAUCUAUUAAAAACGGUCACUUACAAUGGUGAUACGAUGCCUCUUCACCGAGUGGGAGGCUUUCAUUUUUGUAUUGGCGAUUUGAAUGGCAUCGAACCAGGCUGCCUUCUCGAUUUUGUGAGGGUAGUUCAUUGAUCCGUCCUUCACACCGACGCUUCAAACAUCACGAAAACAUUCCAGCACAUGUAAUUUAGCCUUACUGCGAGGGUGGGCGCUACCCCAUGUCUCGUUGCAGAGAGGGAUUGGCACCUUCACAAUGCUUAUACUUCCAACGACCAGGAGCACGCCAAAGAAACUGAACCCUCUCCAACAGCACCUUGGUCAGAGGGGUGAAAGGCAGACAGUUAUCUGCUUACUUCUGGUGAAGAUCAUCGAUUCGAUGAGGAAAAAAUCGUCGACAGUCCAAAGCCAACUUCCAACAAACUUGAUUCUGAGGAUACCGGACACUGACUAAUCGAGUAAUAUGUUGUAAGUUACUGCAUUACUCUACAGAAUUGCAAAUCGGUUGCAUUGGAAGGUGUCCACUUUACACUGACUAUCAACAAAAAUAAAAUGAGAUGUUUUCUUCAUGCAAAGUUCGCCACUCGAAAACCAUGUCCUCGGUGCGGUCUCAAUUAGAUUUCGGAAUCCCUCUGGCCUUUUGCAGUGAAAAGUGAACUGAUCACACAAACACUAGCUAAAUAGGCCCUCGUCAACUGCACUGCAUCCAGACAAGGGAAUGGGGAGGGGAUUCAAGUAAAACCGGUCUUAUAUGCUGUCGCCAGUUCGUUGUUUAUCAGCGUGGGUUUGUGUCCGUUUAGUUUUCGGCUUCCGACGGGCACUGUCCCGGUUUUCAAGAGUGAUCGUUCACUGAAACACCCGCUGUCGAUUCGAUUCCUCCCAUCUCUAAAGUAACGUAGCCUUGCUGGAUCCAAGAUGGCUGCCCACUAGCUGAAGAGUACCAAGCCAAGCCCUCUGGACAGCUAGAGGAAGUGAGGAAAGAGGCGGCGUACGGAGCUCAUUGGCGCUGUAGUUGAAGCAGCGCUGUUUGUUGUUGCUAGGGUGAUUACUGGUGGGGGCGUAGGGGAGGGCAAAACCUGCACAAGACCAGAAAACAGGACAACAUUGCACCAGUUCCUUACUUAUCUUCCAGUGGCACAUGAUAGAGUACAGAUUAGUUAGUGGGAUUAUGAUCAUGAUGUGUUUUAUGUAUUCAGAAAACUGAUUUGAUUGUGACUACUUUUGGUUGCAUUUGCCGUGGGAGAUUCCAUAAUGUGUUUAUUAAACCAAUUCCUGUGUUGGUU